Molecule: non-coding RNA, 117 nt
Filed under: Pan troglodytes (chimpanzee)
Lineage: Eukaryota; Metazoa; Chordata; Mammalia; Primates; Hominidae
Source: Rfam by way of RNAcentral
GCUGGGUGUGGUGGCUCAUGCCUGUAAUCCCAGCACUUUAGGAAGCCGAGGUGGGUGGAUCACCUGAGGUCAGGAGUUCCAGCCUGGCCUGACCAACAAGGUGAAACCUUGUCUCUA